Long non-coding RNA from Perca flavescens (yellow perch), 358 nucleotides. RefSeq lists it as uncharacterized. The transcript has 4 exons. NCBI's taxonomy places the organism in Eukaryota, Metazoa, Chordata, Actinopteri, Perciformes, Percidae. The record is from RefSeq and is a predicted model, not a curated record.
UUGUGUCUUCCUAGAGAUUUUUUUGUUUUCCAAGUGUUUAGUUUUCCCGGUGUGUUGGAUUUUGUUUUUGGUCUUUGACUGCUGGUUGCAGGAUAUCUACUGCCUGCCUACCUUUGGACACGUUCUGCUCCUGUGACCUGGAAUUAAAAUAAAGGACCGCCGGCAUCCAGGAUAUUCCAAACCCUUAAGUGGGUCAUGAAGGAGACGAGGAGAGAAGCAUCCUAUGAUGAGUCAAAGUAAUUUUGGGAACAGCCAACGAGGGACCAAGUGAAAGCGUAAAGAAGCACAAGCCUGUGCCCUGAGAAACGCUGGCUUAAUGGAACUACAGCAUGUUCUCUGCUCACCAUCGACUGUCUGG